This 253-nucleotide unclassified non-coding RNA is filed under the name uncultured Staphylococcaceae bacterium. RNAcentral's name for it is "contains 16S-23S intergenic spacer region". It matches the Rfam family "Bacterial small subunit ribosomal RNA", at positions 524 to 776 of the family's 1533-position model. The record is from RNAcentral. Lineage: Bacteria; Bacillati; Bacillota; Bacilli; Caryophanales; Staphylococcaceae.
UACGGAGGUAGCAAGCGUUAUCCGGAAUUAUUGGGCGUAGCGCGCGCGUAGGCGGUCUGUUAAGUCUGAUGUGAAAGCACCCGGCUCAACCGGGGAGGGUCAUUGGAAACUGGCAGACUUGAGUGAAGAAGAGGGGAGUGGAAUUCCAUGUGUAGCGGUGAAAUGCGCAGAGAUAUGGGGGAACACCAGUGGCGAAGGCGGCUCUCUGGUCUGCAACUGACGCUGAGGUGCGAAAGCGUGGGGAUCAAACAGG